GACACAAUGGCCGAGUGGUUAAGGCGAAAGACUCGAAUUCCGAGACAUCUUUUGGGUUCUCCCGCGCAGGUUCAAAUCCUGCUUGUGUCG
Transfer RNA from Ascoidea rubescens DSM 1968, 90 nucleotides. It matches the Rfam family "tRNA". From Rfam's summary of the family: Transfer RNA (tRNA) molecules are approximately 80 nucleotides in length. Their secondary structure includes four short double-helical elements and three loops (D, anti-codon, and T loops). Further hydrogen bonds mediate the characteristic L-shaped molecular structure. tRNAs have two regions of fundamental functional importance: the anti-codon, which is responsible for specific mRNA codon recognition, and the 3' end, to which the tRNAs corresponding amino acid is attached (by aminoacyl-tRNA synthetases). tRNAs cope with the degeneracy of the genetic code in two manners: having more than one tRNA (with a specific anti-codon) for a particular amino acid; and 'wobble' base-pairing, i.e. permitting non-standard base-pairing at the 3rd anti-codon position. NCBI's taxonomy places the organism in Eukaryota, Fungi, Ascomycota, Saccharomycetes, Ascoideales, Ascoideaceae. The record is from Rfam.